Molecule: ribosomal RNA, 461 nt
Filed under: uncultured bacterium
Lineage: Bacteria
Description: partial 16S ribosomal RNA
Rfam family: Bacterial small subunit ribosomal RNA
Source: RNAcentral
GACGAACGCUGGCGGCGUGCUUAACACAUGCAAGUCGAACGGAAAGGCCCUUCGGGGUACUCGAGUGGCGAACGGGUGAGUAACACGUGGGUGAUCUGCCCUGCACUUUGGGAUAAGCCUGGGAAACUGGGUCUAAUACCGAAUAGGACCACGCGCUUCAUGGUGUGUGGUGGAAAGCUUUUGCGGUGUGGGAUGGGCCCGCGGCCUAUCAGCUUGUUGGUGGGGUAAUGGCCUACCAAGGCGACGACGGGUAGCCGGCCUGAGAGGGUGACCGGCCACACGGGGAAUGAGAUACGGCCCAGACUCCUACGGGAGGAAGCAGUGGGGAAUAUGCACAAUGGGCGCAAGCCUGAUGCAGCGACGCCGCGUGAGGGAUGACGGCCUUCGGGUUGUAAACCUCUUUCAAUAGGGACGAGGCGCAAGUGACGGUACCUAUAGAAGAAGCACCGGCCAACUACGUG